CUGAUACAAAACGCCAGCUGGAAUGCGGCGUUUCAGAAAGACAUCGCUGAAGGAUGCGGCUGCGGCCGAUUAGGUAGACGGUGGGGUAACGGCCCACCGUGCCAGUAAUCGGUACGGGUGAUGAGAGUCAGAGCCCGGAGACGGAAUCUGAGACAAGAUUCCGGGCCCUACGGGGCGCAGCAGGCGCGAAACCUUUACACUGCACGGAAGUGCGAUAGGGGAAUCCCAAGUGCGAGGGCAUAUUAGCCCUCGCUUUUCUCGACUGUAAGGUGGUCGACGAAUAAGAGCUGGGCAAGACCGGUGCCAGCCGCCGCGGUAAUACCGGCAGCUCAAGUGAUGUCCCAUAUUAUUGGGCCUAAAGCGUCCGUAGCU
RNAcentral lists this ribosomal RNA (372 nucleotides) under uncultured haloarchaeon. RNAcentral's name for it is "bacterial SSU rRNA". It matches the Rfam family "Archaeal small subunit ribosomal RNA", at positions 153 to 526 of the family's 1478-position model. The record is from RNAcentral. Lineage: Archaea; Methanobacteriati; Methanobacteriota; Halobacteria; Halobacteriales; Halobacteriaceae.